Molecule: ribosomal RNA, 389 nt
Filed under: Mammaliicoccus sciuri
Lineage: Bacteria; Bacillati; Bacillota; Bacilli; Caryophanales; Staphylococcaceae
Description: Staphylococcus sciuri partial 23S ribosomal RNA
Rfam family: Bacterial large subunit ribosomal RNA
Source: RNAcentral
CGAUUAAGUUAUUAAGGGCGCACGGUGGAUGCCUUGGCACUAGAAGCCGAAGAAGGACGUUACUAACGACGAUAUGCUUUGGGGAGCUGUAAGUACGCUUUGAUCCAGAGAUUUCCGAAUGGGGAAACCCAGCAUGAGUUAUGUCAUGUUAUCCGCAUAUGAAUACAUAGUAUGUGAGAAGGCACACCCGGAGAACUGAAACAUCUUAGUACCCGGAGGAAGAGAAAGAAAACUCGAUUCCCUGAGUAGCGGCGAGCGAAACGGGAAGAGCCCAAACCAAUAGGCUUGCCUAUUGGGGUUGUAGGACACUCUAUACGGAGUUACAAAGGAAAUGAUUAGACGAAUGGUUUUGGAAAAGCCAACCAUAGAAGGUAAAGGUCCUGUAGUCG